AGCGAACGCUGGCGGCAUGCUUAACACAUGCAAGUCGCACGGGCAGCAAUGUCAGUGGCGGACGGGUGAGUAACGCGUAGGAACGUGUCCUGAGGUGGGGGACAACCCCGGGAAACUGGGGCUAAUACCGCAUAUGGGCUGAGGCCCAAAGCCGAGAGGCGCCUUUGGAGCGGCCUGCGUCCGAUUAGGUAGUUGGUGGGGUAAAGGCCUACCAAGCCUGCGAUCGGUAGCUGGUCUGAGAGGACGACCAGCCACACUGGGACUGAGGCACGGCCCAGACUCCUACGGGAGGCAGCAGUGGGGAAUAUUGGACAAUGGGAGAAAGCCUGAUCCAGCAAUGCCGCGUGGGUGAAGAAGGUCUUCGGAUCGUAAAGCCCUUUCGACGGGGACGAUGAUGACGGUACCCGUAGAAGAAGCCCCGGCUAACUUCGUG
Molecule: ribosomal RNA, 433 nt
Filed under: uncultured bacterium
Lineage: Bacteria
Description: partial 16S ribosomal RNA
Rfam family: Bacterial small subunit ribosomal RNA
Source: RNAcentral